RNAcentral lists this ribosomal RNA (249 nucleotides) under uncultured Meiothermus sp. Its description in RNAcentral is "partial 16S ribosomal RNA". It matches the Rfam family "Bacterial small subunit ribosomal RNA", at positions 355 to 623 of the family's 1533-position model. Lineage: Bacteria; Thermotogati; Deinococcota; Deinococci; Thermales; Thermaceae. The record is from RNAcentral.
UUAGGAAUCUUCCCCAAUGGGCGAAAGCCUGAGGGAGCGAUACCGCUUGAAGGACGAAGCCCCUCGGGGUGUAAACUUCUGAACUCGGGACGAUCAUGACGGUACCGAGGUAAUAGCACCGGCUAACUCCGUGCCAGCAGCCGCGGUAAUACGGAGGGUGCGAGCGUUACCCGGAUUUACUGGGUGUAAAGGGCGUGUAGGCGGUCUCUCAAGUCCGAUGCUAAAGACCAAGGCUCAACCUCGGGAAUG